Molecule: long non-coding RNA, 2472 nt
Organism: Gasterosteus aculeatus aculeatus (three-spined stickleback)
Lineage: Eukaryota; Metazoa; Chordata; Actinopteri; Perciformes; Gasterosteidae
Source: Ensembl
UAAAUGUAAAAGCAAAAGUAACUAAAUAUUAGCUUGGUGUGUAAUCCAAAUAAUGCAACCCGGAAAGUGCAAUUUACAACUUCGCUCAAUGACGGAAAUGUCAUUCUCACUCACACUCACUCACUCUUUUGUCUCUGCUACAGAGAAUUUGAUUAUGGAAAACAACAUACGAUGUGAAAGAUAUAACAAAACUGUUUGGUUUAUGCCUUGCAGGUUGACAAAGGACCCUGAAUAUUAAAAACUUGCAUUGUGCUGUGCUCUCUCAUGGUCAGAGGGGGGCGGAGAGCAGGCAAGGAAGUGCAUGAUGACAAAGGAAUAAAAAGAACUGAGGAAGGUUACUGUGUAUUUGUAUGGAAAAGAACAAUGAAGUUGAUCCCUGGAGCUGAAAACAGGUUUCUGUAUGAUGCAAAUGCCAGUACAAGCCUGGUGUUAGUGGCUUAGAAGAGCUGCAGGAAGAGCCAAAGGAGAGGAGGCACGAGUGGAAUUCAAAGAAGUGAAGCACCUCGUCUGCUGACAGCCUGCUGGCCGUCCCUCCGAAGACAGGUCAGGUGUGAAAUGAGAACUGCUCAACCAGAGCUCUUUUUGUCUGAUCUGCACGUGAGUUUCUGCACUUUAUUUGUGAGUGCCUGCAUGUAUGUAGGACACAGAGGACCCCGUGCACCUCCACAUGUCUUUGUGCAUGAAGAAGCUGGCGUUGCAUUUACAGCCUACACUCACUGUUAUGAAAGACUUGUCUCCGGUUUGUUUCUUUUUGUUUUGUUAGAUUUAGAACUAGAGUAUUGCACACAACACGCUUAAAACUUUGUGCCUGCUUGUCUCAUCAAUAGAUUGGACUGGAUGUUAAUUGAUAACCACUCCCAUAACCAGUGAGCAAAAAAGUCAGUGACUGUGGGAACGACAUGUAGCCCUUCUGAUGUGCAACUGGACAUGCUGCAGUAUUUAUGGAUUUGUCACCGUCAUAGCAACAUGGGUCUUUUUUGAAAAACGGGGAGGGAUGCAAACAAAAAAACUAUAGAGUUGUACCCAUUUGCAACACGAAGAAAUAAUGACAAACCAUCAAAACAGAAACCGUAUUUAAUUCCUGGAGAGUUUUUCACUCAGCAAACCCUACCUUAAGAGAAAGAAACUGAGCGUGCGUCCGAAAAGAGGUCAACCUGCCUGAAAUAUGUGUGUGUAGCCGUGAGCAUAAUGCAAACCUCUGCAAACAUUACCUUAAGAUUUAAGGGCACAAGCGUGCGUCCCAAACGAGGUCAACCCACCGCUGUGUGAAAUGUCUAGUGGUUGCAGCGAGCACGCCGCAGGCCUCAGCAAACACCAUCCCGUGAUUUAAGGCUGCAAGCACGCGUCCUAAACGAGUGAGUCAAGCGUCUGUGUGGUAGGAGGCAAAGCGAAAUGUUCAGCAAACGUUAGGAUAUUGACCUACUUUAAGGUUAAAUAUCGAUAAUAUUUAAAUAUAUAUAUAUGAAGCACUAAGCCUGCUACCGACCUCAACUUUUAGGUGUUGCUUUUCUGGGAGGGAUGCGAGCGUGGAUCCCGAGAGAGUUCAUGCUAUCUAGAUCAAGCAGUGAAUCCCCAGCCAACCACAUUUUAUUUAUUUAUUUACUCAUUAUUUAGUUAAAUUUGUACCCAAUCGCCGCCCCGUGUGAAAACUCCAACAUGUUUAAUGUUAAUUUAUACCGAUUUAAAAGGUAUUGAAUAAUCGUUCAGUUUCAAUGACAUGUGCCAGAAAAAUUCUCAUAGUAAUUUCAAGAUGGGUCACCCAGACGUUAUGACAACAACAAGAUUUAUACCUACUUAAACCAUCUGAGGAUUGUUUUAGGUUCAUUCCCUUAGCUAAACCAUUGCGCAGGUGUUUAACAACUUGUGAAUCACAUUCUGGACACGCCUGGCUUCAGCGAGUUGCCAAACUACCCUGCUGCCCACAGCACUGUUUGGGUUUUGUAGCUGCAAAUUGCUUGAGGGACCAGGGGUCUAAAAGGGAAGGAAGAAGUGCAGCGGAAUGUCCACAUGAGAUCAAGGUGACAGGAUGCAUUCGGCAUGCUCAAUUCCAUACGCCUAAGAUAAAGUGCUGGUAUUUUACAGCCUCUCUCUCACUUGGAAUGUUAUGCUUCCUGACAACGUUUUACUUGUAUCCAGCUGUACAGGAGGAAGCCACGUUCAUCGCAGAAUUUGAAGGGUUUAUUAAAAUCACAAUUACCGUUUAGUCGGAGAACAUGAGAGAUGGAGAACAAUGUCGAUUUAGAGAUAAAACUUUGGUGAAAAUGUUUCUGUGAAAUGCUGAGAACUGAUUGAAAGCAAUGUGAAGCAGCUAACACGGAUGAGUUGUAAUGUGAUUUGUGUGGUUUCACCUUUUCAUAGCGGAGCAGCAGAGAAAUGCUACACGCAUCUUUUGCACGUCACACGCUGACAUGUUUGGGGAGGCAUGGGCAGAUGCAUGUUCAUGAGAUGUCAAUGCCCUGCUGGAUGGUGAGG